Balaenoptera ricei (Rice's whale) is the source of this 2162-nucleotide long non-coding RNA. RefSeq lists it as uncharacterized. The transcript is spliced from 3 exons. NCBI's taxonomy places the organism in Eukaryota, Metazoa, Chordata, Mammalia, Artiodactyla, Balaenopteridae. The record is from RefSeq and is a predicted model, not a curated record.
CGUUUCUGUCCCGUCCACAAGGCAAGCAGGCGCCCUGGAGCGCCCCUUUUUUUCUUGACAGGUAGCGAUUAGCCGGUAGCCCCACGCGCGCCACUCGUUCGAGGUUACAGCCGCUCCCACCGAAACUGAGCCCACCUUCCUCGCAGCAGCGGCUGCCCCCCUACAGCUUCGUCCGUUAACCGCUCCAGGCUAUACUGCACGCACGCGCGCUGCCGACACAAUCCCGUGCGGCGGCGGCGCAGUGCAGAGGUGUGGACCCAAGCGGCGCACAGGACCGAGGUCGCAGACGGGUGAGGGAGGAGGAGUGGGGUCGACCGCUGCACUUCCCAGCAGCCACGGGUGAGAGCGAUCGCUCCUCAGGCUGCGGCUUUAGUCGUGUCUUCCUGUUCCCCCACGCGCCCGCAGUGCCAGGGACGCGCGGAGGCAGUGGGCGUGUGGAAACGACGUGGCACAGCUACGCAGGGCAGCCCUCGGAUGCCUGAGGUAGGACAGGGGCCAGUAAGCUACCUUGCGGACGGCAGAGCGGAGGCACUCUGAUGAGAAGGUACUCUGCCCCCGCUGAGGAAGUGGACGGAGGUCCCUGCGGAGGAGCUGAGUCUUCUCCACAACGAAGAAAACAAAAGAAAACAACAGUACUGAACCCACACUGCGUCGAGGAAGAAAUAGACUGCUGCCAGGAAAGAGGAACGCGUCUCUCAGUCUACGUCGGGCGUAGGUCGACAGAGCCUACCGCACGUUGGCAACGGGAAGAGGAGAAGGUGCUCCUACAGCCUCCUUCUGCCUCUUCCCCACCCCGCUGCCUCGGCAAGCUCUAGGGCGCUUGGGCUUCAGUGGAGAGAAAAACCAGUAUGCACUGCCUGGCGUGCCACCUCUGGUCAAGAUUGCAGGCUCCAGGAGCCAACCCGCGUUUUCCCCUCAAACGAAGCACGGAAAAGUAGAUCAGAGAACUUCCCCGGGCACCAGGCUCCCACAAGCGGGAAACCAAUUAAAAAAACAGCCUCUGCACCCAUGCUAAAACUUAAAAAUCACAACGUGGAAGCCGCUAUCUGCUUUUCACACAGUGGUUGCAGGGCGCCUGCUUGCUUUGCGGACGGGGCAGGAACGCAUGCCGAUUGGGCAUGAGUUACGGGGGCCGAGCCCACCUUACGAGGUCCAACCCCCCGCAUACGGCUAGAGCCUUCUCCAGCACGGAAGCGUUUGUCUCUUCGCUGCCGGAGCCGAACAAGUGACCACGAAGCAGCAGCUGCCACCAUGACGCGGCCCACGAAGGGGCGGGGGGUUUCUGCACGUGCAGGCACAGCGGAAGACUGUCAACCCACUUCCCUGCAGGCGGGGCCCGUAGAAAUGUCAAUAACACUUCCUCAAUAAGGAGAGCGCUAGCACAAACACGACAGUAGAACCUACUACAGCACCAGUCAGCGCCAUGUGAAAAAGUGAAAGCGUGAUUCACUCCCGCGGAGUUUGCUCAAAUCGACGUGCACGGACUGAAGGGCCUGCGAAUCGCGCCCGGCCCCCGUGCACGGCGCUCUGCGGGGGCCGGUCGCGUGCCCUUGUGCCCUCACGGUGGUGCAGGGCCGUCGCGGUCCCAGCCAUCCUCGCUGCAACGGAGCCUGGAAGCUCGGGAGAUCACGAACGGUGACCGGAAGAGCAGGGCAGGCGUUCCCCGGCAGCGCCUCUUUCCCCAGCCUCGCCAACAACCCCACGUGGCAUCAAACCUGCGAAUGCUUUUUUGGUGCGGGGUGGGGAAAGGCGGAGGGGUCGAUCUCAUAGGUGAAAAUGGUACCUCGGCGUAGUUUGGAUUUGCAGUUUUCUAAUCUUGGGUAAAUAAGGUUGAGCGUCCUCUCCUGUUUCAGAGACGCCUUUAUUUUCUCUCUGUGAGCUAACUCCUUGUUGGGGGUCUUCGGCCCUUUUCCUCCUGGAUUCUCGGAUGGGCCUUAUCCUAAGGGCGUGGAUCUGCAACUUACACAUUCAGGGGACUGGCCCUUUGUCUGUAAUGGAAGCGGUGACCAUUUUCUCCUGUUGGAUAUCUGGCUUUGGCUUUACUUAAGGUGAUGAUUCCAUUGCUUCAAGGUUUCAUGGAAAGUUGUUUUUAUAUCAUCAUAUGUAUCAAUUAAAAACAUAUCUUUCAGAUUUUGAGUCGAAAGGACUUAUAAUUUCCUAAA